UACGGAGGAUGCAAGCGUUAUCCGGAAUGAUUGGGCGUAAAGCGUCCGCAGGUGGCAAUGUAAGUCUGCUGUUAAAGAGUCUAGCUCAACUAGAUAAGAGCAGUGGAAACUACAUAGCUAGAGUACGUUCGGGGCAGAGGGAAUUCCUGGUGUAGCGGUGAAAUGCGUAGAGAUCAGGAAGAACACCAGUAGCGAAGGCGCUCUGCUAGGCCGUAACUGACACUGAGGGACGAAAGCUAGGGGAGCGAACAGG
This 253-nucleotide ribosomal RNA is filed under the name uncultured bacterium. Its description in RNAcentral is "partial 16S ribosomal RNA". It matches the Rfam family "Bacterial small subunit ribosomal RNA", at positions 524 to 776 of the family's 1533-position model. The record is from RNAcentral.